RNAcentral lists this long non-coding RNA (1276 nucleotides) under Cricetulus griseus (Chinese hamster). Its description in RNAcentral is "lncRNA (ENSCGRG00000026346.1)". The record is from RNAcentral. Lineage: Eukaryota; Metazoa; Chordata; Mammalia; Rodentia; Cricetidae.
AUGCAGAAAGGAACGGCAAGCUCCCCAGUGGCCCUGUCCCUCCCCUUAUUUAAGCACAUUGAACUUCUCUAUAAGNUGGGACCACUCACUCACUUUAGAAAAAAACAUUCCUAUUCUAUGGCAGAAGAAAUGCUGAUGGCCCACAUGAUACUGUGGGCCCCAACGGUGACUCUACAUACAAAGCUGUCCCUGAAUGCUGAAGCGGAGGCUAAGGGCUGUGCAGAGCAGGUACCCACUGUUCUAAAAGACAACAAACAAGAUGGUGAGAUUCUUGCCUUCAAGCGACUUGUCUUUCAAUGAUUUUUCUACACACCGAGCUUGGUUUCCUAACAAGGAUCUCCAGUGUUUAAGAUGGUACGUGACACACAAAAAGCAUCAGUACUUGUGUGGUGAAUACACGUGUCUAGGAAACCUCUUGUGACCCUCCUCUCAUCUUGUGCCUCUUAUUUUUCCCUGCUGUCGCUGUGGUAGAGCUCCUUGGCCUGGCAGCCCCAUAGGGCUUGUGUCCCCGCCCCCCCGGGAUCCCUGCCAUGAAGCCUGGAAGACCGGCCAUGACACUGGAAGCUCUUGAAACACAAUAGUUCUUCUGAUGCUUACUGGACAGUGGGAGGUAGGCUCUAUACUGCUCUGGGUUGUGUUCCCAAUGGAGCGAGACAGUUGUCCCACGGUGACUGGGACAUGUCACUCUCUGACUCUAACCACUUUAUCUGAAAGCCAUCAAGCAGCUCCCUUUCCUUGAUUUCUCUGCCUGCAAGAAAGUGGCAGAGAUAGAGGGCCCAGGUUAGACUAGAACCUACAGACCAGUGGAGGAAAGCAAUAAUAAUUCAAAGACGUGAAAUUUAAAUAAUUAUAGGUGAAGUGGUACUUCAAAAAAUAACAUUUUUAAUUUAUUCUCUAAAAAAUGUAUACAUGUAUACAAUGUAUUUUGAUCAUAUCUAUCCCUUGUUUCCCACCUCCUCCUCAUAGGCCUUCUCAGGAGUUUACUUUUUUGUUUUAUUUUGUUGUUGCUGCUGUUGUUUUUUUGAGUCAAGAGUCUUACUGUGUAGUCCUAGCUGGCCUAGAACUUAUUUUACGAACCACUUGGUCUCGAACUCACAGAGAUUCACCUGCCUCUGCCUCCCAAGUGCCGCGAUUAAAGGUGUGAGCCACCAGCCUCACCAGGUACUGACUUUUUUUUUGUUUGUUUGUUUUUUGUUUUUCGAGACAGGGUUUCUCCAUGUAGCUUUGGAGCCUAUCGUGGCACUCACUCUGGAGACCAGGCUGGCCUCGACCUCAC